Molecule: ribosomal RNA, 486 nt
Filed under: uncultured bacterium
Lineage: Bacteria
Description: partial 16S ribosomal RNA
Rfam family: Bacterial small subunit ribosomal RNA
Source: RNAcentral
AUUGAACGCUGGCGGCAUGCCUUACACAUGCAAGUCGAACGGCAGCACGGGUGCUUGCACCUGGUGGCGAGUGGCGAACGGGUGAGUAAUACAUCGGAACAUGUCCUGUAGUGGGGGAUAGCCCGGCGAAAGCCGGAUUAAUACCGCAUACGAUCCACGGAUGAAAGCGGGGGACCUUCGGGCCUCACGCUAUAGGGUUGGCCGAUGGCUGAUUAGCUAGUUGGUGGGGUAAAGGCCUACCAAGGCGACGAUCAGUAGCUGGUCUGAGAGGACGACCAGCCACACUGGGACUGAGACACGGCCCAGACUCCUACGGGAGGCAGCAGUGGGGAAUUUUGGACAAUGGGCGAAAGCCUGAUCCAGCAAUGCCGCGUGUGUGAAGAAGGACUUCGGGUUGUAAAGCACUUUUGUCCGGAAAGAAAUCCUUGACUCUAAUACAGUCGGGGGAUGACGGUACCGGAAGAAUAAGCACCGGCUAACUACGUG